AAGACACGUUAGUUUUGCUCAAUAAGGAACGGGUACGAGUACGACAUUUGUGAUGGGCAACCGAAGAGACGCGCUGAAGCAUAGCAAGGCCGUUAGUAGUAGCACAGAAAGUAACAGCGUCAAAGGCAAAGAAGAGGAAAAGGCGGCCGAAACCGACAAGCCCGAAGGGGGCUUAACUGCAUGGCUGGCGAGCAGUGAAGGUGUAGGCUGGAUGCAAUUUUUCGUCGUAACGAACGCAAUCAUCCUACUGUUGACCACCGGUUUGCCAAGGAUUUGGGAAUCGAUCGACUUCUUCAAAUCCUACUCGUCUUCCGACUGAAACAAAAAACCCAUUUGCAACGCAGUUCACAUCACGAAUCCAAGCCGGGUCCGGCCGAUGAAGAAAAAAGGAGGAUGGCAGAAUCGUCUUUGUGGAUCAAAGUGACGGUGGUAGUGGUCAUUUUGGCUUACUUUUCCAUUAAAAUCAUGCGCUACUUGGACGAUUGGUACCGGCAGCAAUUUACCCGUUAUUUGCAAACUGAGCAGAAAAGGAAUCCUCAUCUUCUCGACUCGUGAUCAUCCAACCCAUUUUCUUUCUUUCUUUCUUUCUUUUUUUUUUUCGUUUUGUAACACACACCCUAUAACACUAAUUUGAAUAUAUGCGAGAAAUCUGUGCUUGUUCACUGGCAAAGCGUAACGUCUUGUGGUAGGUGCAUUUGUUUUCGGUUAAAAACAAAAGAAAAAUUUGUUGUGUAAUUACGACCAGGUAAGCCAUUUUUUUUGGGGGGGAGGGCGUCCUAUUAUCAAAGCAAUACUUUUAUCUCUUUGACGCUUCGUACAUUUCUCACUCGUUGAACAAAUACAAUGCAGUGACUAGCCUUGA
Daphnia carinata is the source of this 862-nucleotide long non-coding RNA. RefSeq lists it as uncharacterized. The record is from RefSeq and is a predicted model, not a curated record. The transcript has 4 exons. Lineage: Eukaryota; Metazoa; Arthropoda; Branchiopoda; Diplostraca; Daphniidae.